RNAcentral lists this ribosomal RNA (191 nucleotides) under Prevotellaceae bacterium. RNAcentral's name for it is "partial 16S ribosomal RNA". It matches the Rfam family "Bacterial small subunit ribosomal RNA", at positions 1 to 188 of the family's 1533-position model. The record is from RNAcentral. Lineage: Bacteria; Pseudomonadati; Bacteroidota; Bacteroidia; Bacteroidales; Prevotellaceae.
ACAAUGAAGAGUUUGAUCCUGGCUCAGGAUGAACGCUAGCGGCAGGCUUAACACAUGCAAGUCGAGGGGCAUCGGGGGUAGCAAUACUUGCCGGCGACCGGCGCAAGGGUGCGUAACGCGUGAGCAACAUGCCUGUAACAGUGGGAUAACCCGGAGAAAUUCGGACUAAUACCGCAUAAGACAUUUGGGUG